GAUGAAGAACGUAGCGAAAUGCGAUAAGUAAUGUGAAUUGCAGAAUUCAGUGAAUCAUCGAAUCUUUGAACGCACAUUGCGCCCCUUGGUAUUCCGAGGGGCAUGCCUGUUCGAGCGUCAUAUUAACCACUCCCGCUUGCGGGGUCUUGGGCUUCGCCUCCGGGCGGGCCUUAAAAUCAGUGGCGGUGCCGUCGGGCUCUACGCGUAGUAAAUUUUCUCGCGAUAGGGUCCCGGUGGAUGCUUGCCAACAACCCCCAACUUCUUAAGGUUGACCUCGGAUCAGGUAGGGAUACCCGCUGAACUUAAGCAUAUCAAUAAGCGGAGGC
RNAcentral lists this unclassified non-coding RNA (326 nucleotides) under soil metagenome. RNAcentral describes it as "partial contains 5.8S ribosomal RNA, internal transcribed spacer 2, and large subunit ribosomal RNA". The stretch from base 1 to 120 matches the Rfam family "5.8S ribosomal RNA", at positions 35 to 154 of the family's 154-position model. The record is from RNAcentral.